GUGUUGGUGCGACUACUUUAAUCUUCGCAUUACAAACUCUGCCCCUUGAUUGCAAACUUUUUCGGUCCUUGACGGCUAAUCCCAAGUGCCGAGAGUGUACCUUCCCUCUCCCGAUUUUAUAGAGCGGAUGUAAGAAGGAUUCGAGAUAAUGGAGACGAAUGUUGCACAAACAGAGCCCGAAACACAUGUAUGAAACGUGUAGAACGCCCUGGAAUUUACGAGUAUGAUGAGGCGGCAGGACGCGGCCCAGCUAAAUGGGAUCGCUUGACGAUGACUGCCGCUUGUGCAAUGUAAAGUUUCGUCCACCACUAGCGACACAAAAGACACUAGAAUAACUAGUGUAGAAUAUUCUAGAGUCUUUGACCGACACCCCUAGCAGUCACAGGAGAACAGGAACCCGAAAACGCUUUUUAUUGGAAACGCUUGGGAACAAAAAAUGAUUAUGCACUCAGACUAAAGAAGCCGUACAUUCCUUAUGAAACGUUGUAUGUGAGUCCUUAGCUGAGAAGAUAGUGAAACUAGUUUUUGGAUUG
Molecule: non-coding RNA, 533 nt
Organism: Drosophila melanogaster (fruit fly)
Lineage: Eukaryota; Metazoa; Arthropoda; Insecta; Diptera; Drosophilidae
Source: Ensembl